AGGUCCCGCCUGCCCUGUGACCCAGUGUUUAACGGCCGCGGUAUUUUGACCGUGCAAAGGUAGCGCAAUCACUUGUCUUUUAAAUAAAGACUAGUAUGAAUGGCAUAACGAGGGCUUAACUGUCUCCUUACCCCAGUCAAUGAAAUUUAUCUCUUCGUGCAGAAGCGAAGAUAACAACAUAAGACGAGAAGACCCUAUGAAGCUUUAGAUGAAUAGUAAAUAAUAUUUGUAACUUGACUAUAAGAAUAAAUUAAAUUAAAAUCACUAAACAUCUUUGGUUGGGGCGACCGCGGAGCAAAAAAUAACCUCCGUGAGGAAUGGUUAUUAACCAUAACUAAGAACUACACUUCAAAGUACCAAAAGAUUUGACCACAAGAUCCGGUAUAACCGAUUAACGAACCGAGUUACUCUAGGGAUAACAGCGCAAUCUUCUCCAAGAGUCCCUAUCGACGAGAAGGUUUACGACCUCGAUGUUGGAUCAGGACAUCCUAAUGGUGCAGCAGCUAUUAAGGGUUCGUUUGUUCAACGAUUAAAGUCC
This 538-nucleotide ribosomal RNA is filed under the name Hippichthys spicifer. RNAcentral describes it as "partial 16S ribosomal RNA". It matches the Rfam family "Bacterial large subunit ribosomal RNA", at positions 1850 to 2596 of the family's 2925-position model. The record is from RNAcentral. Lineage: Eukaryota; Metazoa; Chordata; Actinopteri; Syngnathiformes; Syngnathidae.